GUAUUUUAACUGUGCUAAGGUAGCAUAAUUAUUUGUCUUUUAAUUGAGGGCUGGAAUGAAGGGUUGGACGAGGUAUUAGCUUUCUUUAAUUUAAUUUGAGGAAUUUAAUUUUUGAGUUAAAAAGCUUAAAUUUAUUUAUGGGACGAGAAGACCCUAUAGAUCUUUAUAGUUUUAUAUUUUAGUAAUUUGGGGAUUUAUGUAUUUUAAGUAAAUGAACUAUUUUGUUGGGGUGACUGUAGAAUUUUAAUAACUUCUAUUUUGUAUUUUCAUUAAUUAAUGUUUUUGUGAUCCAUAAUUUAUGAUUAGAAGAUUAAGUUACCUUAGGGAUAACAGCGUAAUUUCCUCGGAGAGUUCAUAUUGAUGAGGGAGUUUGCGACCUCGAUGUUGGAUUAAAAUAAGUUAU
Molecule: ribosomal RNA, 403 nt
Filed under: Triatoma costalimai
Lineage: Eukaryota; Metazoa; Arthropoda; Insecta; Hemiptera; Reduviidae
Description: partial 16S ribosomal RNA
Rfam family: Bacterial large subunit ribosomal RNA
Source: RNAcentral